RNAcentral lists this ribosomal RNA (253 nucleotides) under uncultured bacterium. RNAcentral describes it as "partial 16S ribosomal RNA". It matches the Rfam family "Bacterial small subunit ribosomal RNA", at positions 524 to 776 of the family's 1533-position model. The record is from RNAcentral.
UACGAAGGGGGCUAGCGUUGCUCGGAAUUACUGGGCGUAAAGCGCGCGUAGGCGGAUCGUUAAGUCGGGGGUGAAAUCCUGGAGCUCAACUCCAGAACUGCCUUCGAUACUGGCGAUCUUGAGUCCGGGAGAGGUGAGUGGAACUCCGAGUGUAGAGGUGAAAUUCGUAGAUAUUCGGAAGAACACCAGUGGCGAAGGCGGCUCACUGGCCCGGUACUGACGCUGAGGUGCGAAAGCGUGGGGAGCAAACAGG